AAGUCGUAACAAGGUUUCCGUAGGUGAACCUGCGGAAGGAUCAUUAACACGUAUCCACGUAUCCACCCAAAGCGAAUCCGUUUCCAUCUCCCUCUAUAGCAGAGAACGAAUCGAGUCGACAGCGAAGUGCGAGUGGGACCUUACAGGGUCUAUUGGCUGUUCACCAACUGAGGCUUCGGCCUCGACGAUUGCAUCUCUGUGGAGGCUAAUUUCUUACUACUGCGGUUUCCACCUCUGCCGUGGUAGUGAGGAGACUUUCUUCCAAACCUAUCUCACCCCUUUUUGCUAGUUGACUUUUAUAUGUUGUUCCUUGCGCUUUGCGCAUGGAGCACACGUUUAAUUAUUUGAACGUUAAAAAUACAACUCUUAGCAAUGGAUAUCUUGGUUCUC
This 390-nucleotide unclassified non-coding RNA is filed under the name fungal sp. RNAcentral describes it as "partial internal transcribed spacer region". The stretch from base 1 to 46 matches the Rfam family "Eukaryotic small subunit ribosomal RNA", at positions 1786 to 1831 of the family's 1831-position model. Lineage: Eukaryota; Fungi. The record is from RNAcentral.